UGGGGAAUAUUGCACAAUGGGCGCAAGCCUGAUGCAGCCAUGCCGCGUGUGUGAAGAAGGCCUUCGGGUUGUAAAGCACUUUCAGCGGGGAGGAAGGCGUUAAGGUUAAUAACCUUGGCGAUUGACGUUACCCGCAGAAGAAGCACCGGCUAACUCCGUGCCAGCAGCCGCGGUAAUACGGAGGGUGCAAGCGUUAAUCGGAAUUACUGGGCGUAAAGCGCACGCAGGCGGUCUGUCAAGUCGGAUGUGAAAUCCCCGGGCUCAACCUGGGAGGGUCAUUGGAAACUGGGAGACUUGAGUGCAGAAGAGGAGAGUGGAAUUCCAUGUGUAGCGGUGAAAUGCGUAGAUAUAUGGAGGAACACCAGUGGCGAAGGCGGCUCUCUGGUCUGUAACUGACGCUGAGGCUCGAAAGCGUGGGGAGCAAACAGG
This 429-nucleotide ribosomal RNA is filed under the name Chloroflexota bacterium. RNAcentral's name for it is "Chloroflexi bacterium partial 16S ribosomal RNA". It matches the Rfam family "Bacterial small subunit ribosomal RNA", at positions 355 to 776 of the family's 1533-position model. The record is from RNAcentral. Lineage: Bacteria; Bacillati; Chloroflexota.